GACGAACGCUGGCGGCGUGCUUAACACAUGCCAGUCGAACGGACAGGCCCUGCUUUUGCUGGGUGCUCGAGUGGCGAACGGGUGAGUAACACGUGAGUAACACGCCCCUGUCUUUGGGAUAAAUUCUGGAAACUGGGGCUAAUACCGGAUAGGAGCUACUGCUGCAUGGUGGGGGUUGGAAAGUUUCGGCGGUUGGGGAUGGUCUCGCGGGUUACCAGCUUGUUGGUGGGGUAGUGGCUUACCAAGCCUUUGACGGGUAGCCGGCCUGGGAGGGUGACCGGCCACAUUGGGACUGAGAGACGGCCCAGACUCCUACGGGAGGCAGCAGUGGAGAAUAUUGCACAAUGGGCGGAAGCCUGAUACAGCAACGCCGCGUGCGGGAUGACGGCCUUCGGGUUGUAAACCGCUUUCGCCGGUGACGAAGCGUGAGUGACGGUAAUGGGUAAGAAAGCACCGGCUAACUACGUG
This 468-nucleotide ribosomal RNA is filed under the name uncultured bacterium. RNAcentral describes it as "partial 16S ribosomal RNA". It matches the Rfam family "Bacterial small subunit ribosomal RNA", at positions 28 to 507 of the family's 1533-position model. The record is from RNAcentral.